CUUUUAUGAAUGAGAUUAGUGUCCUUGUGAAGAGGACUCUCAUGCCCAUUCUGCAAUGUGAGAUCUUCAUAGGCAGCCAUAUAUGAAGAAGGAAGCAGACUUGUAGACAUCGAAUCUAGACGACAAGACAGUUCUAAGGCAAGAGAAGGCUCUACUCCCCUGUUUCCUGUCCCAGUGGGACUACAUCCUUCUGCUAUUAGAACCUGGCUUUUAAUACUGAGUUCAAAGAAUCAAGUUGAAUGUUUCUAUGAAAUACAUAUUCUGGAACAAGCCCUGCCCUUGGAUACCACCCUGUUUUCGUGUUGUCUGUUGCCUCGGCCAAUGCUUAGCACCAUUCCUGUAUGAAGCUGCACAUUGGGGAAUAUACCGACCUUCUUGAGCGACUGAAUUUCCACACAGCCUUCUGGGAAAUGUGAUGUCCAGGGAGCAAGUUAACCUCUAUUUGGAAUUUAUUUUAUAAAUUAUUACAAUUGAUCAAAAUGUUGUUCAAGAACCAUGACAAUAAAGCAUAAUUUUGGUGCAUGAGAAUACAAAAAUCUGUUUCAGCAGGUACCAGCCCCUGCCAGCUGGGAAGCACAAGAAUACCAGGAGGUUGUUCUUUGUAGAAUCUACCAGUCAACUGAAAACGCCUUCUCUUCUGGCCACCAAAAGGGAAUAAAGAAUGCC
RNAcentral lists this long non-coding RNA (666 nucleotides) under Heterocephalus glaber (naked mole-rat). RNAcentral describes it as "lncRNA (ENSHGLG00000034591.1)". The record is from RNAcentral. Lineage: Eukaryota; Metazoa; Chordata; Mammalia; Rodentia; Bathyergidae.